GAAAUGCGAUAAGUAAUAUGAAUUGCAGAUUUUCGUGAAUCAUCGAAUCUUUGAACGCACAUUGCGCCCUCUGGUAUUCCAGAGGGCAUGCCUGUUUGAGCGUCAUUUCUCUCUCAAACCCCCGGGUUUGGUAUUGAGUGACACUCCUCUGACGAGGCGUCUGCUUGAAACGGAUUGGCAUGGGUAGCGCAUGUAACUGUGCUGUCGACCACUUCAAUGUAUUAGGUUUAUCCAACUCGUUGAACGGUUACAGAGCAGGGUUUGCGUGGAUAUGGCCCGGCCUUACAACAUCCUUUAAGUUUGACCUCAAAUCAGGUAGGACUACCCGCUGAACUUAA
Molecule: unclassified non-coding RNA, 338 nt
Filed under: uncultured Saccharomycetales
Lineage: Eukaryota; Fungi; Ascomycota; Saccharomycetes
Description: sequence contains ITS1
Rfam family: 5.8S ribosomal RNA (bases 1-105)
Source: RNAcentral